UUUUAGCCCGUGUUCACAAAACAUGCACACAACACACUAAACACAAUACACUAGACACACAGUAUCAGGGUGGUUUCCAAAUCACUAGGCUAAUCAGCCUUGAAUUCUCAACAUUUUCAAAUGCAAAAGUCGUGUUGGGGGGUGCUGAUGCUGAAUGGGGACUGUGACAUGGAAUUCUCUUUCCUCUGAACAGCCAAGGCUUUACUCUCUUCUACUCCUACCCGGAGAAGGUAAAGCAUGUAGUGACCUCAGGGACUGCUUACCCCUUAAGGAUUUACUUCCAGGGGUGCGUGUGAAAGUCCUCCCGCCUUCUGUCUGGUGCGAGGUCUUUCUAGACAUAAUGACCAGGUUCAGGCAAGGCUAUAAAUUCACUCAUUUUCCCUGCAAGGCAUUUGCAAAGAAUGCAGGAGAGUGAGAGUGGAAAGAAAAGGCAGAGAGAAAGAUGGCUGUGAUUGUCACAUCCCUAGCCGGGCCAAGCCCCAAAGUCUGCGCCUUGAGGCAGCCUCAGAGCCUGGCCGCCAUCUCUCUGUAGGAAACAGAACAUCUGAUCAAGUUCAGAGGCGCCAGGAGAGACCGCCUCAAGCAGCGCUUUAUAACUGCAGCCUUUCACUUCCUGCUCCCCAAUCUGCCUGGCCCAGCCAACACUUCACCUUCUUUCUUAGCCGGUUUGCUGGGAGAAAACCCUACCGGUAGCACAUCUUACCGUAUUCACCCCCUCCCAUCAAACUCGCCCCAAUUCUCUCUCCACAUCCAGAGCUCUCUCCCCAGGUUGGAAGACGGAGUUUUACUCUUGCUGCCCAGGCUGGAGUGCAAUGGUAUGAUCCUGGCUCACCGCAACCUCCGCCUCCCAGGUUCAAGUGAUUCUCCUGCCUCAGCUUCCCAAGUAGCUGGGAUUACAGAUAAGAGAAAGGCCAGAUCCAACAAACAUUGACUGAGCCAUCACCAAAUGUGGGGCCCCGCGGCAGAGACUCGAAGGGUCGUUCUGCAUAAAAAAGUUGAUGACAGCAUAGCUUCGUUUAUACAGCUGGGACCCUCUGGAGUCUACAGAUGGAUUGUUAGAGAUGUGGCCUGCCAGCUGCCUUUGGAGAGUAGCCAAAUCUGCUGGGACCCAGCCACUUCAGGCACAGAUGUGCUUGCCUUUCCUGAAUGGAUGUCUUCCAGAAACGUUGGCUGUGAUGUCUGGUUUUUGUAUCUAUUGUUACUUCCAACGAAGACACAUAUACAAAAGACUCCUGGCUGCCUUUUAAAUGAAAACGUGCAGCAUAUUAGGAUCAAUCAUUUGUCUAAUGUUGACUUCCAGGAUGAAUUGCAAACUGUGCAACUCCAGAAGACUGUUCCUCAGGGGCUCAACUCCAAGCAGCUUGGAGUAUCAGAAAUUAACGGGAACCCUCUCACAGAAGAGUAUGGAACCUCUUGCUACACUUCACAUGCCCAACUCCAAAGGAGCAUUCGCUGGGAAACUGAACCCUAA
Molecule: long non-coding RNA, 1471 nt
Filed under: Papio anubis (olive baboon)
Lineage: Eukaryota; Metazoa; Chordata; Mammalia; Primates; Cercopithecidae
Description: lncRNA (ENSPANG00000036962.1)
Source: RNAcentral